This 532-nucleotide long non-coding RNA is filed under the name Zostera marina. RNAcentral describes it as "long non-coding RNA (ZMAR_LNC005018)". Lineage: Eukaryota; Viridiplantae; Streptophyta; Magnoliopsida; Alismatales; Zosteraceae. The record is from RNAcentral.
AUCCACGCAUUCUGUCGCUUCGGCCAGAAUCAGACUCUAAACGAGUCGGUCCAUUUUGUCGCUAUGGCCUCAAUGGACCAAAGAAUUAUUUUGUCGCUUUGGCCUCAAUAAUUCCUCUAUCUUGUCGCUUUGGCCUUGAUAGACUUGGAGAUCAUUUUGUCGCUUUGGCCUUAAUGAUCUCGACCCACUUUGUCGCUUUGGCCUUAGUGGGGUAACCGUCGUUGCGGACGUAAAGUCGCUCUUGAUCAGGGUGGACUAUAAACAUGGGUUCUGAUAGUGAACCAGAUCCUGUCGCUUUGGUCAGGAUCCACGCAUUCUGUCGCUUGGGCCAGAAUCAGACUCUGAUAGUGAGUCGCUCCAUUUUGUCGCUUUGGCCUUAAUGGAUGGGAGUUAUUUUGUCGCUUUGGCCUUAAUAAAUUCCAUUCAUCUUGUCGCUUCGGCCUUGAUGAUAACACAGAAAGAGUCGCUCCUGAUCAGAGUCGGACUAUAAACACGUAGUUCUAUUUGCCUGGAACUAGAUUCUGAUAGUGAA